AGUAACACGUGAGCAAUCUGCCCCUGACUCUGGGAUAAGCGCUGGAAACGGCGUCUAAUACUGGAUACGAGCUGCGAAGGCAUCUUCAGCAGCUGGAAAGAACUUCGGUCAGGGAUGAGCUCGCGGCCUAUCAGCUUGUUGGUGAGGUAACGGCUCACCAAGGCGUCGACGGGUAGCCGGCCUGAGAGGGUGACCGGCCACACUGGGACUGAGACACGGCCCAGACUCCUACGGGAGGCAGCAGUGGGGAAUAUUGCACAAUGGGCGCAAGCCUGAUGCAGCAACGCCGCGUGAGGGACGACGGCCUUCGGGUUGUAAACCUCUUUUAGCAGGGAAGAAGCGAAAGUGACGGUACCUGCAGAAAAAGCGCCGGCUAACUACGUGCCAGCAGCCGCGGUAAUACGUAGGGCGCAAGCGUUAUCCGGAAUUAUUGGGCGUAAAGAGCUCGUAGGCGGUUUGUCGCGUCUGCUGUGAAAACCCGAGGCUCAACCUCGGGCCUGCAGUGGGUACGGGCAGACUAGAGUGCGGUAGGGGAGAUUGGAAUUCCUGGUGUAGCGGUGGAAUGCGCAGAUAUCAGGAGGAACACCGAUGGCGAAGGCAGAUCUCUGGGCCGUAACUGACGCUGAGGAGCGAAAGGGUGGGGAGCAAACAGGCUUAGAUACCCUGGUAGUCCACCCCGUAAACGUUGGGAACUAGUUGUGGGGUCCAUUCCACGGAUUCCGUGACGCAGCUAACGCAUU
RNAcentral lists this ribosomal RNA (740 nucleotides) under Microbacterium sp. RNAcentral describes it as "bacterial SSU rRNA". It matches the Rfam family "Bacterial small subunit ribosomal RNA", at positions 109 to 861 of the family's 1533-position model. Lineage: Bacteria; Bacillati; Actinomycetota; Actinomycetes; Micrococcales; Microbacteriaceae. The record is from RNAcentral.